Molecule: long non-coding RNA, 795 nt
Filed under: Anser brachyrhynchus (Pink-footed goose)
Lineage: Eukaryota; Metazoa; Chordata; Aves; Anseriformes; Anatidae
Description: lncRNA (ENSABRG00000018337.1)
Source: RNAcentral
CUUUUGCUCAGCAGUGCAUCGAUGCUGCUUAGAGAAACAGCAGCCGCUCAGAGCGGGAGGGAUGCCAGCCACCCAGAGUGAGCAGGCGGUGGGUUGAAAUAAGGGCGGAAGAAGAGACGUGUCUCUGAGAUGGGCAGAUCUUGGAGCUCGGGGCCUGGCUCUGCUUCAGUGGCAAGAAAUAAAAACUUAUUUUCUUGCCUCUGUCUUUACAGAUCAGGACCACGCUCUCUGUCUGCAGUACAAGGACUUCGUGUUGACCACCCUGCUUGGAUUAAGGAGGAUGCAAGGCAGGAGGAGCAGAGGGCUUAGCCAAGAUGUCUGUCAUCUCCCUUCAGAAAGCAUGAGCUGUUGCUAAGAGCUCUGGAGGUGCUGUACUGAAGCUUUGCUGAUGUGCUGAUCCCUGCGACCAAUUCCUCUGAAGCAGGCUGCACCGUCAACCUGGAGACAGCUCCUCCAGGGUGAGAUCAGCUGCACCUUUAGGAGAGUCUCCAGAUGGCUCUUCGGGGAGAGAAGUUAGAGACUGAUCAACGUCCAAAAAAAGUAUCUCAUCGGGUGGCAAAACACCGGCUUCACCUUGUUGUGCCUCCCAAGGACAACUUGAAAAGGGCAAAGUGGAGCUGCCCCCGUUCCCCUUGUGCGGGGCUCAGAAGACUGCUCACGAGCUCUGGUGGCAGUGUGACCUCAGGAGCUCUCCAGGAUGCGCAGUCUGGGGUUUUAUGCCCAAGCCUGUCCCGUGCUUGGCUAACGGCCUCGCUAUGUCGCAGGAUACUGAGCAGAGCUGCUGGGGCGUGCUAG